This 497-nucleotide ribosomal RNA is filed under the name uncultured bacterium. RNAcentral describes it as "partial 16S ribosomal RNA". It matches the Rfam family "Bacterial small subunit ribosomal RNA", at positions 28 to 507 of the family's 1533-position model. The record is from RNAcentral.
GAUGAACGCUGGCGGCGUGCCUAAUACAUGCAAGUCGAGCGAACAGACGAGGAGCUUGCUCCUCUGACGUUAGCGGCGGACGGGUGAGUAACACGUGGAUAACCUACCUAUAAGACUGGGAUAACUUCGGGAAACCGGAGCUAAUACCGGAUAAUAUAUUGAACCGCAUGGUUCAAUAGUGAAAGACGGUUUUGCUGUCACUUAUAGAUGGAUCCGCGCCGCAUUAGCUAGUUGGUAAGGUAACGGCUUACCAAGGCGACGAUGCGUAGCCGACCUGAGAGGGUGAUCGGCCACACUGGAACUGAGACACGGUCCAGACUCCUACGGGAGGCAGCAGUAGGGAAUCUUCCGCAAUGGGCGAAAGCCUGACGGAGCAACGCCGCGAGAGUGAUGAAGGUCUUCGGAUCGUAAAACUCUGUUAUUAGGGAAGAACAAAUGUGUAAGUAACUAUGCACGUCUUGACGGUACCUAAUCAGAAAGCCACGGCUAACUACGUG